CCUACGGGGGGCAGCAGUGAGGAAUAUUGGUCAAUGGCCGGAAGGCUGAACCAGCCAUGCCGCGUGAAGGUCAGUGCCCUAUGGGCGUUAAACUUCUUUUGUGCGGGAGCAAUAAUGGUCACGUGUGGCCAGACGAGAGUACCGUACGAAUAAGCAUCGGCUAACUCCGUCCCAGCAGCCGCGGUAAUACGGGGGAUGCAAGCGUUAUCCGGAUUUAUUGGGUUUAAAGGGUGUGUAGGCUGUGAGGUAAGUCAGCGGUGAAAUGCCCCCGCUCAACGGGGUGAAGGGCCAUUGAUACUGCCGUGCUGGAAUGCGGAUGCCGUGGGAAGAAUGUGUGGUGUAGCGGUGAAAUGCAUAGAUAUCACACAGAACACCGAUUGCGAAGGCAUCUCACGAAUCCGCGAUUGACGCUGAUGCACGAAAGUGUGGGUAUCAAACAGGAUUAGAUACCCCUGUAGUC
RNAcentral lists this ribosomal RNA (460 nucleotides) under uncultured bacterium. RNAcentral describes it as "partial 16S ribosomal RNA". It matches the Rfam family "Bacterial small subunit ribosomal RNA", at positions 338 to 795 of the family's 1533-position model. The record is from RNAcentral.